Molecule: ribosomal RNA, 691 nt
Filed under: Discosia italica
Lineage: Eukaryota; Fungi; Ascomycota; Sordariomycetes; Amphisphaeriales; Sporocadaceae
Description: eukaryotic LSU rRNA
Rfam family: Eukaryotic large subunit ribosomal RNA
Source: RNAcentral
AGACAACAGGGAUUGCCUCAGUAACGGCGAGUGAAGCGGCAACAGCUCAAAUUUGAAAUCUGGCCCUUGGGUCCGAAUUGUAAUUUGUAGAGGAUGUUUUUGGUGCGGUAUCUUCCGAGUUCCUUGGAACAGGACGCCUUAGAGGGUGAGAGCCCCGUACGGUUGAAUACCUAGCCUCUGUAAAACUCCUUCGACGAGUCGAGUAGUUUGGGAAUGCUGCUCUAAAUGGGAGGUAAAUUUCUUCUAAAGCUAAAUACUGGCCAGAGACCGAUAGCGCACAAGUAGAGUGAUCGAAAGAUGAAAAGCACUUUGAAAAGAGGGUUAAAUAGCACGUGAAAUUGUUGAAAGGGAAGGAUUUAUGACCAGACUUUUUCUGGGCGGAUCAUCCGGUGUUCUCACCGGUGCACUUCGUUCAGUUUAGGCCAGCAUCGAUUUUCGGUGGGGGAUAAAAGCUUUAGGAAUGUGGCUCCUCCGGGAGUGUUAUAGCCUAUUGUAUAAUACCCUGCUGGGGAUCGAGGUACGCGCUUCUGCAAGGAUGCUGGCGUAAUGGUUAUCAAUCACCCGUCUUGAAACACGGACCAAGGAGUCGAACAUUUGUGCAAGUGUUUGGGUGUUAAACCCUCACGCGUAAUGAAAGUGAACGGAGGUGAGAGCCCUUACGGGUGCAUCAUCGACCGAUCCUGAUGUUUUC